GACGAACGCUGGCGGCGUGCUUAACACAUGCAAGUCGAACGGAAAGGCCCUGCUUUUGUGGGGUGCUCGAGUGGCGAACGGGUGAGUAACACGUGAGUAACCUGCCCUUGACUUUGGGAUAACUUCAGGAAACUGGGGCUAAUACCGGAUAGGAGCUCCUGCUGCAUGGUGGGGGUUGGAAAGUUUCGGCGGUUGGGGAUGGACUCGCGGCUUAUCAGCUUGUUGGUGGGGUAGUGGCUUACCAAGGCUUUGACGGGUAGCCGGCCUGAGAGGGUGACCGGCCACAUUGGGACUGAUAUACGGCCCAGACUCCUACGGGAGGCAGCAGUGGGGAAUAUUGCACAAUGGGCGGAAGCCUGAUGCAGCAACGCCGCGUGCGGGAUGACGGCCUUCGGGUUGUAAACCGCUUUCGCCUGUGACGAAGCGUGAGUUACGGUAAUGGGUAAAGAAGCACCGGCUAACUACGUG
Molecule: ribosomal RNA, 468 nt
Filed under: uncultured bacterium
Lineage: Bacteria
Description: partial 16S ribosomal RNA
Rfam family: Bacterial small subunit ribosomal RNA
Source: RNAcentral